RNAcentral lists this long non-coding RNA (1840 nucleotides) under Carica papaya (papaya). RNAcentral describes it as "long non-coding RNA (CPAP_LNC014433)". Lineage: Eukaryota; Viridiplantae; Streptophyta; Magnoliopsida; Brassicales; Caricaceae. The record is from RNAcentral.
CCACUGUAAGAACUAGAUACCACCCUCUUUGAUUCCUAUCUAACCGCCAUCAAUAAUCUGUGGUUGUUCCCCUUCCAACUACUUCCCAAAAUUUUCCUCCCUCAUUCCAGUAGAACUUUUACAGACUAUCCGUCAACCAUUUAACCUCUUUCUCCUGAAAGAUGAUCGUCAUCGGAAACCCUUUUCAUUCUCACUCGAGCGCAGACGUGCUGUUUUUCCUCCUGCAACCACCAUGUUGAAGGACAGUCUCUAUCACCAAAAAUUGCCGAUUCUUGCCAGCCAUUCUCUUCCAACCGAAUCAGUGGCUGCCGUAAGCGUCCGAUCUACCACCCCAUCGAACACCCCACACACCCGUCUAACAUGCCGUCAAUCUUGUCUAGUAUAGAAAAUCUCUUAAACAAUAUAUCACAAAGUUUCCCAAUCUCUUGAGCAGGAGACUUGACGAAUUUAUUCUAAGAUCAUCGACAAUUAUAGAUAUCAUACUACUUGAGAGGAAACACUGACCAUCUUCAAUCAUUAUAGGUACUUAGGGUCCUCAUAGGUAAAAUUCCCCGCAAAAUCUUAAAAAAACAUAAAAUAAUAUUGUAGAAUUAAAGAUAUAUGAAAAUGCAAUCAUAAUAGUAAAACAAUAAUGAAAUAAUACCCUAUAAUUCCUUAACUUUAACUGAUGCUAGACCAUAUAAGGAUUAACACUAAGAACUUUAGUUCAAUUAGGAAACAUUUUUACAUUGUUUUCCAAGACAUUUGAUUUUGAUUUUGUUUAAGAUUUGAAAACUAAUAUUAUUACCCACAGUGUAUGCUCUGUAUUAACCUAAAGAACAUGUUAAGUUACCAUAAACAGAACACUUUUCAGAUAUAGCAUUUCAUAUCUUAUUUUUCUGUCUGCUCUGCAGUUCUUAUCAUUCUUCCUUUAAGCCUUGCUAAUUCCUCUACUUGGUGUCUCCUUUUUAACCAGUUUCUUCUUUUUGCUCUCUCCAUUUUACUGUUUCUUCUUCAACUUUUUGAAGUGCUCAGUGCCUUAGCACCAAAGAAUGUCAAGAAAAAAAAAUUAUAUCAAAGUUUUUUCUAAAGAAAAAAAAAUUUAUCAAAAUGAAGAAAAAUGAGUUACAAUGGCAGAGGCUAAAGUUUUUUUAAUAGACUUUUUCUCCUACUCUCAGGUGUUGUGGCCCUUUCUCUUAUCCUGACUGGUGAUCCACUUAGCUUUUCCUUGUAUGUGAAUGGUUGAUUUAACAUAAAAUAGAUGGAAGGACCAGGGCCAACCUUUUCUUUCCCCUGACCAAGUCUUUCUAUUUUGAAAUUCAGAUAUCAGGGCCCCAACAGCUAGUUAUAGAUCCAUUUGGAAUUUGUAGCAGGCAUGGCAACUCAAAGUUUCCUAUCUCACUCUCUCUCUCAUCCCUAUUUGGAUAAAGAUUAUCCUCUAUCAGAAGAUACAAUGCAAGACCAAACUAAGAGGAUAGAAGAUGAACAAUAUACUGAUUACCUACAUUUGAAUUCAUUCUACACAUUUUUCUCAAAGUAAAUUCCAUGCAAUUGAUUAACAAUAAUUUAUUUUCCGAUAACCCAAGGAAAAAUAAUAAUGAAGUUUCUUAUAUAACGAACUUCUGCCUGGAUUAGGCAACUUCUCUACAUUGCAGUUUAAUCAAAAUUUCCCUUUGAAGACCUAAUUUAAUCAAUUUUAAUGCAUUUCUCCUAAAAAAAUGUUGAUAAGUUUCCAAAAUAAACUAUGUUAGUAUUUAUUGACAAACCUGUGAAACCUGUUUAGCAACAGUAUUUAGAAUAGACUUCCACCUGAGACAUGAGCGGAUCCUGAUAAUUUUCCCUUUGAGCCUUGUGCUCCAUC